Molecule: microRNA precursor, 91 nt
Filed under: Canis lupus familiaris (dog)
Lineage: Eukaryota; Metazoa; Chordata; Mammalia; Carnivora; Canidae
Also listed under: 1 other name
Description: mir-8799 microRNA precursor family
Rfam family: mir-8799 microRNA precursor family
Source: Rfam by way of RNAcentral
GGGGGUAGCGCUGGAUCUUCGGCUCUGUCCCCAGCGCCCUGGGCUCCUGGGCCUGCACUGUUGGAAUCACGCUCCCAGCCACGCAGCUCCU